CCUACGGGGGGCUGCAGUCGAGAAUCAUUCACAAUGGGGGAAACCCUGAUGGUGCGACGCCGCGUGGGGGAAUGAAGGUCUUCGGAUUGUAAACCCCUGUCAUGUGGGAGCAAAUUAAAAAGAUAGUACCACAAGAGGAAGAGACGGCUAACUCUGUGCCAGCAGCCGCGGUAAUACAGAGGUCUCAAGCGUUGUUCGGAAUCACUGGGCGUAACGCGUGCGUAGGCUGUUUCGUAAGUCGUGUGUGAAAGGCGCGGGCUCAACCCGCGGACGGCACAUGAUACUGCGAGACUAGAGUAAUGGAGGGGGAACCGGAAUUCUCGGUGUAGCAGUGAAAUGCGUAGAUAUCGGGAGGAACACUCGUGGCGAAGGCGGGUUCCUGGACAUUAACUGACGCUGAGGCACGAAGGCCAGGGGAGCGAAAGGGAUUAGAUACCCCAGUAGUC
This 446-nucleotide ribosomal RNA is filed under the name uncultured bacterium. Its description in RNAcentral is "partial 16S ribosomal RNA". It matches the Rfam family "Bacterial small subunit ribosomal RNA", at positions 338 to 795 of the family's 1533-position model. The record is from RNAcentral.